UACGAAGGGGACUAGCGUUGUUCGGAAUCACUGGGCGUAAAGCGCACGUAGGCGGAUGUGUCAGUCAGGGGUGAAAUCCCGGGGCUCAACCUCGGAACUGCCUUUGAUACAGCACGUCUCGAGUCCGGAAGAGGGUAGUGGAAUUCCCAGUGUAGCGGUGAAAUGCGUAGAUAUUGGGAGGAACACCGGUGGCGAAGGCGGCUACCUGGACCGGUACUGACGCUGAGGCGCGAAAGCGUGGGGAGCGAACAGG
Molecule: ribosomal RNA, 253 nt
Filed under: uncultured bacterium
Lineage: Bacteria
Description: partial 16S ribosomal RNA
Rfam family: Bacterial small subunit ribosomal RNA
Source: RNAcentral